RNAcentral lists this ribosomal RNA (253 nucleotides) under uncultured bacterium. RNAcentral describes it as "partial 16S ribosomal RNA". It matches the Rfam family "Bacterial small subunit ribosomal RNA", at positions 524 to 776 of the family's 1533-position model. The record is from RNAcentral.
UACAGAGGUCUCAAGCGUUGUUCGGAUUCAUUGGGCGUAAAGGGUGCGUAGGGGGCGUGGUAAGUCGGGUGUGAAAUUUCGGAGCUUAACUCCGAAACUGCAUUCGAUACUGCUGUGCUUGAGGACUGGAGAGGAGACUGGAAUUUACGGUGUAGCAGUGAAAUGCGUAGAGAUCGUAAGGAAGACCAGUGGCGAAGGCGGGUCUCUGGACAGUUCCUGACACUGAGGCACGAAGGCCAGGGGAGCAAACGGG